This is a non-coding RNA of Equus caballus (horse), 687 nucleotides long. The record is from the annotation of a RefSeq genome assembly. NCBI's taxonomy places the organism in Eukaryota, Metazoa, Chordata, Mammalia, Perissodactyla, Equidae.
CCCUCUGGGUCAUCAGCUGGGUGGUCUUCUAGGAGAGCCCCUCAGUCACUGUCUGCCUGUGACAGCUGUGCAGAGCCUGGCUCUGACUCCCUCCUUGUGUCCUGGACUCCCUGUCUUUUGAGCAGGUCUGGAGUGUAGAGGGUGUCUGCCCCUCUUGUCAUCCAUCCCUUCCUUCUAAGGCCGGAGGAGGAAGGCAUGCUGCGGGCUCUCGCUCUCCUUCUAGCUUUCCUGGCUCCUGCCACUCAGGUAUCUUCCAACUUGGAAGGGACACAGAUGUUGGUCACCAAGCAAGCUGGAUCAUCUGUUGUAAUCACUUGUGAUAUUACACAAAGCAGCGACUAUGUCCACUGGUACCGAUACCAGGAGGGGAUGGCCCCACGACGACUUCUCUACUACGAGUUCUCCAGCUCAAAGGUUGUGGUGGACCCAGGGAUCAGUUCACAGAAGUACAAUGCUUAUCAAGGCACAGGGAGGACCUGUAAACUUUAUAUCAAAUUUCUGGAAGAAAGCGAUUCUGGUGUGUAUUACUGUGCUGUCUGGGAGAGGCACAGUGAUUCAGACUUCCCCUAUCCUGCACUGAAAAUUUUGCUUGUGGUUGCCAAGAGCAGCCUUGACACACAGGGUAGACCAGCCCCUGCCGCCCUUCCUGCCCUGACUUCACUGUGCUCUGAACAUGAGAGAUCCUGA